GACACCAGUGUGGUUCCAUCCACUGGAAGCCUAGUCUUAAAGGUAGAGUUGGAAGGUCAUCCAUCUAACUGAUGGAGCACAUCCCGAGCAUUGCUUCUCACAUCUCCCAAGAUCCUUUCGAAGGGCCGUGGAGCUCAGGCUUGGUGAAUGCAGAAAAGUCUCUCACAGGGAGAUUUUGAAAGUC
Molecule: long non-coding RNA, 184 nt
Filed under: Chinchilla lanigera (long-tailed chinchilla)
Lineage: Eukaryota; Metazoa; Chordata; Mammalia; Rodentia; Chinchillidae
Description: lncRNA (ENSCLAG00000022969.1)
Source: RNAcentral